GCCUUCGUGGUGUAGUGGUCAGCCCGCUCGGCUCGUAUUCAGGUUCGUGGUCCGUGGUUCGAGUCCUGGCGAGGGCA
Molecule: transfer RNA, 77 nt
Filed under: Stegodyphus mimosarum
Lineage: Eukaryota; Metazoa; Arthropoda; Arachnida; Araneae; Eresidae
Rfam family: tRNA
About the family: Transfer RNA (tRNA) molecules are approximately 80 nucleotides in length. Their secondary structure includes four short double-helical elements and three loops (D, anti-codon, and T loops).
Source: Rfam by way of RNAcentral